Molecule: ribosomal RNA, 253 nt
Filed under: uncultured bacterium
Lineage: Bacteria
Description: partial 16S ribosomal RNA
Rfam family: Bacterial small subunit ribosomal RNA
Source: RNAcentral
UACGUAGGUCCCAAGCGUUGUUCGGACUCACUGGGCGUAAAGGGUGCGUAGGCGGCGCGGAAAGUCAGAUUUGAAAGCCCCGGGCUCAACCCGGGAACUGCAUCCGAUACUCCCGCGCUAGAGGAUUGGAGAGGAGUCUGGAAUUCACGGUGUGGCAGUGAAAUGCGUAGAUAUCGUGAGGAACACUCGUGGCGAAGGCGAGACUCUGGACAAUUCCUGACGCUGAGGCACGAAGGCCGGGGGAGCAAACAGG